AAUGCAACGACAUGAACGCGGAGCUACUUUUCUCUGUGUACGGAUACGGAUAGAUCCUGACACGCACGGGCGAAUGUAUAUAUUUUUAUCCACAAAAUCCGUCCCGACAGCUCAAAAAUAUUAAUCGUUAGGCUACUAUAGAUUCAUCAAAGUGUAUUGGGCAAAAGUAAAGCCAUUUGGACAACAUUUUCUAAUUAAUAACAUAUUCAGAUAUUAAUCAUCUUUCUCCUGUAGACAAUCUGCCAAUAUUAUAGCUGUUUUAAAAAUCAGAAUCUCCGUCUUUCCAUUGUAGUAUUUAACAUGAAGGAACAUUUUUUUUAGCAAUUGCUAGUGUGUGUAAAUGUAUUUAAACUUGCUGUCUCAUUGUAAACGAUUCUUUUUAAUCAGAUCUGUCCAACGAACACUGGAUUUUUCAUAGUAUUUGCACAUUUGCCUCAUACAUGUAUGCAGGCAUCACAAAAAGAACUUUUGCCACAUUAAGUUCUAUUUUCUAAGUUGAAUUUCCAAUGAUCUAUUUUCUGACUGAAAAAAAGGCCUCAUCCCACCCUGCUUUAUUUAAUCGAAAAUUAACCAAGACCUAUAAAAUCAUCAAGAUACCUCUCCAUCAAACAUACACACACAAAAAAAUAUGAUGUCUGUUUGAUUACUGAAAGAUAAUCUCCAGUAAAUAUGCAUGUUCAUGAGGUUUACUUGCACAAUCCAGGCUGGCUCCCUUUAAUCUAAUAUGCUCUUGACUACGUAGGUCUACUUGCUUUGUGAAGUGACUUGAUGCUGUUGCAGACAGUAGAUGUCAAGCUUGUGUUACAGGAAUGCAGUUGUAGAUAGAUGCCUUGAGAAUAGUGCGUGGCACACCAGAUGCCACGCUCAACUAAAGUCUCAAAUGUGUAUGUAAAACAAAACUUGUGAACUUAAUGAUUAUUUGAACAAAUAAAAAGACUAUAACAUG
Molecule: long non-coding RNA, 946 nt
Organism: Rhinichthys klamathensis goyatoka
Lineage: Eukaryota; Metazoa; Chordata; Actinopteri; Cypriniformes; Leuciscidae
Exons: 2
Source: RefSeq, a predicted model, not a curated record